AAGCAGCUUGCUGCUUCGCUGACGAGUGGCGGACGGGUGAGUAAUGUCUGGGAAACUGCCUGAUGGAGGGGGAUAACUACUGGAAACGGUAGCUAAUACCGCAUAAUGUCGCAAGACCAAAGAGGGGGACCUUCGGGCCUCUUGCCAUCGGAUGUGCCCAGAUGGGAUUAGCUAGUAGGUGGGGUAACGGCUCACCUAGGCGACGAUCCCUAGCUGGUCUGAGAGGAUGACCAGCCACACUGGAACUGAGACACGGUCCAGACUCCUACGGGAGGCAGCAGUGGGGAAUAUUGCACAAUGGGCGCAAGCCUGAUGCAGCCAUGCCGCGUGUAUGAAGGAGGCCUUCGGGUUGUAAAGUACUUUCAGCGGGGAGGAAGGCGGUGAGGUUAAUAACCUCAUCGAUUGACGUUACCCGCAGAAGAAGCACCGGCUAACUCCGUGCCAGCAGCCGCGGUAAUACGGAGGGUGCAAGCGUUAAUCGGAAUUACUGGGCGUAAAGCGCACGCAGGCGGUCUGUCAAGUCGGAUGUGAAAUCCCCGGGCUCAACCUGGGAACUGCAUUCGAAACUGGCAGGCUAGAGUCUUGUAGAGGGGGGUAGAAUUCCAGGUGUAGCGGUGAAAUGCGUAGAGAUCU
RNAcentral lists this ribosomal RNA (633 nucleotides) under uncultured Pseudomonadota bacterium. RNAcentral describes it as "bacterial SSU rRNA". It matches the Rfam family "Bacterial small subunit ribosomal RNA", at positions 73 to 699 of the family's 1533-position model. The record is from RNAcentral. Lineage: Bacteria; Pseudomonadati; Pseudomonadota.